CAGCCGCCACGGUAAUACGAAGGGUGCAAGCGUUACUCGGAAUUACUGGGCGUAAAGCGUGCGUAGGUGGUGGUUUAAGUCCGUUGUGAAAGCCCUGGGCUCAACCUGGGAAUUGCAGUGGAUACUGGGUCACUAGAGUGUGGUAGAGGAUAGUGGAAUUUCCGGUGUAGCAGUGAAAUGCGUAGAGAUCGGAAGGAACAUCUGUGGCGAAGGCGACUAUCUGGGCCAACACUGACACUGAGGCACGAAAGCGUAGGGAGCAAACAGGAUUAGAUACCCCUGUAGUCCCUGUCUCUUAUAC
Molecule: ribosomal RNA, 301 nt
Filed under: uncultured bacterium
Lineage: Bacteria
Description: partial 16S ribosomal RNA
Rfam family: Bacterial small subunit ribosomal RNA
Source: RNAcentral